This 435-nucleotide ribosomal RNA is filed under the name uncultured bacterium. RNAcentral describes it as "partial 16S ribosomal RNA". It matches the Rfam family "Bacterial small subunit ribosomal RNA", at positions 29 to 507 of the family's 1533-position model. The record is from RNAcentral.
AGCGAACGCUGGCGGCAGGCUUAACACAUGCAAGUCGAGCGGGCAUCUUCGGAUGUCAGCGGCAGACGGGUGAGUAACACGUGGGAACGUACCCUUCGGUUCGGAACAACUCUGGGAAACUGGAGCUAAUACCGGAUACGCCCUUAUGGGGAAAGGUUUACUGCCGAAGGAUCGGCCCGCGUCUGAUUAGCUAGUUGGUGGGGUAACGGCCUACCAAGGCGACGAUCAGUAGCUGGUCUGAGAGGAUGAUCAGCCACACUGGGACUGAGACACGGCCCAGACUCCUACGGGAGGCAGCAGUGGGGAAUAGUGGACAACGGGCGCAAGCCUGAACCAGCCAUGCCGCGUGAGUGAUGAAGGCCUUAGGGUUGUAAAGCUCUUUUGUCCGGGACGAUAAUGACGGUACCGAAAGAAUAAGCCCCGGCUAACUUCGUG